CAACCAUUAUUGUGUGUGAGUGUGCGCGCAGCUCGCAGGAGCCAGGAUAUGGUCACGAUUGGUACGACGUUGCUGUUGGGUACAGGCUGUCCUUCCCUCCAGUUUGUGUGUGCUCUAGAUUGCCUGCAUAUUUGCUGUUCGCUGAUUAUGGAUAAAGCUGUGAGUAACUGAACCCGUGGGUUUAGCGAUCUACUUCCGGGUAUGUAUAUCUAGUCCUUUGAGCAUUAUUGGGAUGGUGUCUUUGACUGAUUUUAUUAAUUUUUGUCCAUUUUAGUGCAUCUGCUCGUGAGCCCUUUGUUACUGUGGACUGCAGGGCAAAUGCUCCUUAGACAGCGUUAAGACUGCACUGUUUGUUCUGCUGCUAUUUUUACGACUGUGACCAUUUGCAUUUGAUUAUUACUUUCUGGCUUUGUUUGUUUUUCACGCUCAUGCUGGUGGGUUAGGUGGAGGGUGGCUAGUCCGAGUCGUCAUUUAAAGCGAGCUGUACCGUUCACGGUGCCUGCUUAGCUCCACCGGCUGUUAUAUUGCCACCAGCAGCGUGUUUGUUUUGUUUAUCUAUUUUUUUUGUUUCUUUUUCUGAUCUGCCCUCUUCCUAAGGACGGCGUGGAAACAUCGGGUAAUAUCUCGUACCUGGGAAGAUUACGUUUUUUGUUUUGUUUAAUGUUGAUUUGAGUCUUUUUGCUUCAAUUUUUUGUUCUUUAUAACUUGUUUUUUUUGUAUUUUAUGUGAUUUAAUUAGAAGCCUGCUGUCUUCACUUGUAUUGUUUGCUUUAUUUCUUCUUUCUGGUUUUGUUCUUCUCCUUAACCUCUUGCUGCUCCAUGGCAUGUCUAGGUCCAUGAGCUUUUGGCACGAACCUAGUUGAGUCUUUACAUCUCUCUGUCUGACCCUUGUGGCCAGUAAAUUGUCCAUUGUUGUUCCCCUUCAUGGUUUGAACUUAUUCCAGUGCAAGUUGUUGGAUUGCAUGUGAGUUGAACUAAUGUUUUUUUUUUUUUUUUCUCUUUUUUCCUUUUUUUCGUUUAUUUCAGGAGCUGAAGGCCCCAGUGAGGGAAGCUAGCUGCCUUGGCCCUGUGGUGGUGGUGUUUCUCUCACAGAGUGUUUUGCUAUUUGAUAUCUGCGUCUCCCUCACUUAGAGUGGGUGUGGUGUGAGCGUGAGUGUUUUGAGUAGUGUGUCUUAGGAUACUGUUCAGCUAGCUGCCCUACUGGUAAGCCUCAGCCGCAAAGUUUCUUGUUUUCUUUACUUCUUUUUGUUGUUUGGUCAACAGUUUAUUACAUUUUAUUGUGCAAUAAAGGUAUUUUUGUAUUUAUA
Long non-coding RNA from Tachysurus vachellii, 1306 nucleotides. RefSeq lists it as uncharacterized. The transcript has 2 exons. Lineage: Eukaryota; Metazoa; Chordata; Actinopteri; Siluriformes; Bagridae. The record is from RefSeq and is a predicted model, not a curated record.